Molecule: long non-coding RNA, 1843 nt
Organism: Empidonax traillii (willow flycatcher)
Lineage: Eukaryota; Metazoa; Chordata; Aves; Passeriformes; Tyrannidae
Exons: 2
Source: RefSeq, a predicted model, not a curated record
GCAGGGAGGGCGGUGCGGGCGGGCGGUGUCCCGGAGAUCCCGGUCCCGAUUUCGGUCUUGCUCCCGCCACCGCCCUUGCCGGCCGCGGUGGAGGCGCCUCGCCGUCCCAUUGCGCACGCCAGGAGGCUCCCCCCGUGCUGCCCAUCUCCUGGCUCGCUCUGCGGCCGGGGCGGGAGCUGCGCCCAGGGCUGUCUAUCAUCGUCACCCGGGGGGCGGGACGGAGCUGACCCCCCGCCCGGCCUCUGUUCGUGGAGAUCCUACUACAAGUCGGAUCGGAGACCCGCAGCAGUCGCUGCUGCCCGGGCUCAGGGCAUUGGCAGCGGGAGAAGGGCUGGACGGCGGUGCUGGAGGGCUCUCCUUGGGGGGGUGGGGGGGGGUGUCACUCCUGUGGGCUCCCGUCUGUGCUGCUCUGCCACAGCUCUUUGCAUAAUCUGAUUUUCCUGCACUGGCAGUGUACGUGCUGGGGUAUAUUUUAAGUGAGAGCACUUUUGUAUUCUACGUUUUCCUCUCCUGACCUGGAAUAACCUCUGUCCUCUGCACCAGGUGAUUUGCGGUGUCUGUGUAAGUGAAAAUAAACAAGUAGCACUCACUAGAAUGAUUGUGUGCAAUCAAAUUACACAACUUGCGGAAACACACUUCAUAAAGCUGUUAUUCCUGCUCUAGUAUUUCAGACUUAAUAGAUCCUCAAGAUAAACCUACAAACUGUUUAUCCAAAGACAAACCUAUAAAAUCCAUAAUCCCAGUGGUUAUGUAAAACCAAGGAUUUAACAGAGAAACUGAUUUUAUAGGUCAUUAUAAUCUCCAUCUCUUGCUGCACAUUCCAAAAACAUGGGAGUCCCUUUCUCUGUCCCUUUACACCCCUCCUUUCUGAUGAUGCUAAAGAAUACUUAUGUCACCUCUGCUCCAUUGGUAGAACCUGAUUUUUCCUUCAGAGAUAACCUGAUAUGCAAACAAUUAAAUUACUGAACAAUUGUUUACAGUUUGUAUUUACCUUUGAAAUCUGCUGCUUUACUUUUAGACCUUGAGAAUGGUUCUGCAUCUAAAAGCCUGCCUAUCUUCUUUUACUAAAAUAUACAGUGUCAUGCAUGUACUACCUCUGUGUAUAACCUUUACCUUCUGGUAUGUUUUCAUGCAUCCUCAACUUGGAAAACAGCUAACUGGAGGAAAACAAAUCAAAAAACCCCAGGACAACAUGAUAUCAGCUUCCAACUUUAUCCAGCAUCAAGAAUGUUGUUAAAGCAAGCAAACAAACUUUGGGGGUUUGCUUAAAGGGAAGAACAGAAGGCAGCAGGAGUGUCCUUACACUGUGAGGCAAGUGCAGAAGGCAACAAACCUCUUGGCUUUGUAGGAAUUUGCUGAUAACAGAACCAUGUGUUGAUUUUUGAGUAGGAAAGAUUAGCCUACCAAAAGUAAGGAUGGGAAAAGCUGCAGCCUAUACUUUUUGCCCUCUAAAUUCAAUUUUCAUUCACAAACUGUGGGCUCCUAAUGUCAUGCAACCUCACCUUGCUUUACUGUGUUUUCCCUGGAAGUCAGUAUUUUUUACUGUAUGAUUUUGCAAGACCAUUUGUGUUCCAGAGGGUUUAUUGUAUGAAGUAGACACAUGCACCUGGUAAAGGUUUCUUUUUCCUGCAGUUCUUCAGAACUAACUUAGGACGUCACAGCAUGAAGUGGAACAUUGCUGUUUCUGUUUUACUAGUUGUUGUUUUGCAUGAUCUAAGCAUAUGUUUAUCCUAAAAUACAUGUCUUAAUGCCAUAUGCCACAAAGAUUGCAAGAACAUCAAGUUUAAGCAACGGACAUGUGUUCAGCUGUAAACAUGGACAUAUUGACUAUCUGUGUUGAUGU